GGAGGGUGCGAGCGUUGUCCGGAAUCACUGGGCGUAAAGGGCGCGUAGGUGGCCCGUUAAGUGGCUGGUGAAAUCCCGCGGCUCAACUGCGGGGCUGCCGGUCAUACUGACGAGCUAGAGCACGGUAGGGGCAGAUGGAAUUCCCGGUGUAGCGGUGGAAUGCGUAGAGAUCGGGAAGAAUACCAGUGGCGAAGGCGUUCUGCUGGGCCGUUGCUGACACUGAGGCGCGACAGCGUGGGGAGCAAACAGGAUUAGAUACCCUGGUAGUCCACGCCGUAAACGAUGGACACUAGACGUCGGGGGGAGCGACCCUCCCGGUGUCGUCGCUAACGCAGUAAGUGUCCCGCCUGGGGAGUACGGCCGCAA
This 366-nucleotide ribosomal RNA is filed under the name uncultured bacterium. Its description in RNAcentral is "bacterial SSU rRNA". It matches the Rfam family "Bacterial small subunit ribosomal RNA", at positions 527 to 891 of the family's 1533-position model. The record is from RNAcentral.